This 520-nucleotide ribosomal RNA is filed under the name uncultured Entrophospora. Its description in RNAcentral is "SSU rRNA". It matches the Rfam family "Eukaryotic small subunit ribosomal RNA", at positions 569 to 1083 of the family's 1831-position model. The record is from RNAcentral. Lineage: Eukaryota; Fungi; Glomeromycota; Glomeromycetes; Entrophosporales; Entrophosporaceae.
AGCAGCCGCGGUAAUUCCAGCUCCAAUAGCGUAUAUUAAAGUUGUUGCAGUUAAAAAGCUCGUAGUUGAAUUUCGGGAUUGACACAUCGGUCGUGCCUUAAGGGGUAUGAACUGGUGUAGUCAAUUUCUCACCUUCUGGAGAACCGCGAUGCCCUUAAUUGGGUGUCGCGGGGAACCAGGACCUUUACUUUGAAAAAAUUUAGAGUGUUUAAAGCAGGCAUUUUGCUUGAAUACAUUAGCAUGGAAUAAUAAAAUAGGACGGCAUGAUUCUAUUUUGUUGGUUUCUAGGAUCACCGUAAUGAUUAAUAGGGAUAGUUGGGGGCAUUAGUAUUCAAUUGUCAGAGGUGAAAUUCUUGGAUUUAUUGAAGACUAACUACUGCGAAAGCAUUUGCCAAGGAUGCUUUCAUUAAUCAAGAACGAAAGUUAGGGGAUCGAAGACGAUCAGAUACCGUCGUAGUCUUAACCAUAAACUAUGCCGACUAGGAAUCAGACGAUGUUAAUUUUUUAAUGAUUCGUUUGG